GACAAACGCUGGCGGCAUGCCUAACACAUGCAAGUCGAACGGACAGGCCAGGGAAGCUUUUCGGAGUGGAACUGGAAAGUUAGUGGCGGAUGGGUGAGUAACGCGUGGACAACCUACCUUGUAAAGGGGAAUAACCUCGAGAAAUCGAAGCUAAUACCCCAUAAUAACCUUGCUUCGCAUGAAGUAAGGAGGAAAGGCGGCCUUAGCGCUGUCGAUACAAGAUGGGUCCGCGUCUGAUUAGCUAGUUGGUGAGGUAAAGGCUCACCAAGGCGACGAUCAGUAGCCGGCCUGAGAGGGUGAACGGCCACAUUGGGACUGAGACACGGCCCAAACUCCUACGGGAGGCAGCAGUGGGGAAUCUUCCGCAAUGGGCGAAAGCCUGACGGAGCAAUGCCGCGUGAGUGAAGAAGGCCUUCGGGUUGUAAAACUCUGUCCUUAUCGAAGAGAGAGUGUUGUAGUAACUGACAAUACUAGGACGGUAGAUGAGGAGGAAGCCCCGGCUAACUAUGUG
This 511-nucleotide ribosomal RNA is filed under the name uncultured bacterium. Its description in RNAcentral is "partial 16S ribosomal RNA". It matches the Rfam family "Bacterial small subunit ribosomal RNA", at positions 28 to 507 of the family's 1533-position model. The record is from RNAcentral.